This 379-nucleotide ribosomal RNA is filed under the name uncultured bacterium. RNAcentral describes it as "bacterial SSU rRNA". It matches the Rfam family "Bacterial small subunit ribosomal RNA", at positions 521 to 896 of the family's 1533-position model. The record is from RNAcentral.
UAAUACGUAGGAGGCAAGCGUUAUCCGGAAUUACUGGGCGUAAAGGGCGUCUAGGUGGUUCGGAAAGCGGGGUGUGAAAGCUCUCGGCUCAACUGAGAGAGUGCGCUCCGAACUAGCGGACUAGAGGGCAGGCGACGCAGGUGGAAUACCCGGUGGAGUGGUGAAAUGCGUAGAGAUCGGGUGGAACACCAGUGGCGAAGGCGGCCUGCGAGCCUGCAACUGACACUGAAGCGCGACAGCGUGGGGAGCAAACGGGAUUAGAUACCCCGGUAGUCCACGCCGUAAACGAUGGUGACUAGGUGUGUGGGGCGAUAACCCGCCCUGCGUGCCGCAGCUAACGCGCUAAGUCACCCGCCUGGGGAGUACGGCCGCAAGGCUA